ACCGGCUGGGGCCAGUACAAAUAAACAAUCCCCUCGCCUUUUACUAGGGGAUUCCGUGUACUAGCCCUGCUGCAAAGCCGAUCAGCAAUUUCUUGACACACUGCUUCAUCUUGAAGCU
RNAcentral lists this small nuclear RNA (118 nucleotides) under Laetiporus sulphureus 93-53. RNAcentral's name for it is "U5 spliceosomal RNA". It matches the Rfam family "U5 spliceosomal RNA". Rfam says of the family: U5 RNA is a component of both types of known spliceosome. The precise function of this molecule is unknown, though it is known that the 5' loop is required for splice site selection and p220 binding, and that both the 3' stem-loop and the Sm site are important for Sm protein binding and cap methylation. Lineage: Eukaryota; Fungi; Basidiomycota; Agaricomycetes; Polyporales; Laetiporaceae. The record is from Rfam by way of RNAcentral.